Molecule: ribosomal RNA, 465 nt
Filed under: uncultured bacterium
Lineage: Bacteria
Description: partial 16S ribosomal RNA
Rfam family: Bacterial small subunit ribosomal RNA
Source: RNAcentral
GACGAACGCUGGCGGCGUGCUUAACACAUGCAAGUCGAACGGAAAGGCCCUGCUUGCAGGGUACUCGAGUGGCGAACGGGUGAGUAACACGUGGGUGAUCUGCCCUGCACUUCGGGAUAAGCCUGGGCAACUGGGUCUAAUACCGGAUAGGAGCCAUUUUUAGUGUGGUGGUUGGAAAGUUUUUUCGGUGUAGGAUUAGCUCGCGGCCUAUCAUCUUGUUGGUGGGGUAAUGGCCUACCAAGGCGGCGACGGGUAGCCGGCCUGAGAGGGUGGACGGACACAUUGGGACUGAGAAACGGCCCAGACUGCUACGGGAGGCAGAAGUGGGGAAUAAUGCACAAUGGGCGCAAGCCUGAUGCAGCGACGCCGCGUGGGGGAUGAAGGCCUUCGGGUUGUAAACUCCUUUCGCUAGGGACGAAGCUUUUUGUGACGGUACCUAGAUAAGAAGCACCGGCUAACUACGUG